Molecule: ribosomal RNA, 697 nt
Filed under: uncultured archaeon
Lineage: Archaea
Description: bacterial SSU rRNA
Rfam family: Archaeal small subunit ribosomal RNA
Source: RNAcentral
CAGUAACACGUGGCUAACCUACCCUUAGGACGGGGACAACCCCGGGAAACUGGGGCUAAUACCCGAUAGGUGAGGAGGCCUGGAAUGGUUCCUAGUCGAAAAGGCGUUGAAACCAUGCUUUUCGACGUCGCCUAAGGAUGGGGCCGCGCCCGAUCAGGUUGUUGGUGGGGUAACGGCUCACCAAGCCUAUAACCGGUACGGGCCGUGAGAGCGGGAGCCCGGAGAUGGGCACUGAGACAAGGGCCCAGGCCCUACGGGGCGCAGCAGUCGCGAAAACUCCGCAAUGCGCGAAAGCGUGACGGGGCUACCCCGAGUGCCGUCCGCUGAGGAUGGCUUUUCCCCGGUGUAAUGAGCCGGGGGAAUAAGGAGAGGGCAAGUCUGGUGUCAGCCGCCGCGGUAAUACCAGCUCUCCGAGUGGUAGGGAUGAUUAUUGGGCUUAAAGCGUCCGUAGCCGGCUUGGCAAGUCUCCUGUUAAAUUCAGCGACCUAAUCGUUGAGCCGCGGGAGAUACUACUAGGCUAGGAGGCGGGAGAGGCCGACGGUAUUCUCGGGGUAGGGGUGAAAUCCUAUAAUCCCGGGAGGACCACCAGUGGCGAAAGCUGUCGGCUAGAACGCGCUCGACGGUGAGGGACGAAAGCUGGGGGAGCGAACCGGAUUAGAUACCCGGGUAGUCCCAGCUGUAAACGAUGCGGGCUAGG